RNAcentral lists this ribosomal RNA (211 nucleotides) under uncultured bacterium. RNAcentral's name for it is "partial 16S ribosomal RNA". It matches the Rfam family "Bacterial small subunit ribosomal RNA", at positions 524 to 733 of the family's 1533-position model. The record is from RNAcentral.
UACGGAGGGUGCGAGCGUUGUCCGGAAUCACUGGGCGUAAAGGGCGCGUAGGCGGCGCGGAUAGUCGGCGGUGAAAGCCCGGAGCUCAACUCCGGGUCGGCCGUCGAUACUUCCGGGCUUGAGCACUGUAGAGGCAGAUGGAAUUCCGGGUGUAGCGGUGGAAUGCGUAGAGAUCCGGAAGAACACCGGUGGCGAAGGCGGUCGUGCUGGG